GGACUACCAGGGUAUCUAAUCCUGUUUGCUCCCCACGCUUUCGCGUCUCAGCGUCAAUGUCCGUCCAGAUGGCCGCCUUCGCCACUGGUGUUCCACCCGAUAUCUACGAAUUUCACCUCUACACCGGGUAUUCCGCCAUCCUCUCCGGCAUUCAAGCCACGUAGUAUCGCGCGCACUUCGUCGGUUGAGCCGACGGAUUUCACACGCGACUGGCGCGGCCGCCUACACGCGCUUUACGCCCAAUAAUUCCGAACAACGCUUGCACCCUCUGUAUUACCGCGGCUGCUGGCAC
RNAcentral lists this ribosomal RNA (292 nucleotides) under uncultured bacterium. RNAcentral's name for it is "partial 16S ribosomal RNA". The record is from RNAcentral.